Melanaphis sacchari is the source of this 510-nucleotide long non-coding RNA. RefSeq lists it as uncharacterized. The transcript has 3 exons. The record is from RefSeq and is a predicted model, not a curated record. Lineage: Eukaryota; Metazoa; Arthropoda; Insecta; Hemiptera; Aphididae.
CAGCAUUAUCACAGUGUAUUCCGUGCGAUUAUUUAACUGGAUUUUGAUUAAAAAAACAUUUAGUGUGUAAUUUUUCUUUAAAAGUUUUAUGCCUUUAUCUGAACACUAUAGUCAGUGACCAGACGGUACACAAAUUAAUAAAUGAGAGUACUUUUUAGAAACCGGUUCUCUCCACGAUCCGAUCGGGAUUUAACGGAUGCCAAGAAUGUGUGUUCCGGCUAAAUCUACAAUGUCUCACAGUCGUCAUAUUUUUGUGGCUACGUCAAAAGAAACGCGAUAAAUGUAAUGAAAGGAAUACCAGCAAUAAACACGACAAUAUUUGAACACUUGAUAGCAUAUAAGUUCUGUUUGCAAGUGUACACAUACAUACGGAUACGGCACACACAUCUAAGCAAAUGGAGUGUCUUGUCUCCUGUUUAUUACUACUGAUGGGCAGGUACUCACCCGUGAUAGUGACGAAGACGUGUCGGCUGUGGCAUUAGGGGCUCGACGUGUCAUUGUGAAGGCUGU